RNAcentral lists this ribosomal RNA (499 nucleotides) under uncultured bacterium. RNAcentral describes it as "partial 16S ribosomal RNA". It matches the Rfam family "Bacterial small subunit ribosomal RNA", at positions 28 to 507 of the family's 1533-position model. The record is from RNAcentral.
GACGAACGCUGGCGGCGUGCCUAAUACAUGCAAGUCGAGCGAAGUUUUUCUGGUGCUUGCCCUAGAAAAACUUAGCGGCGCACGGGUGAGUCACACGUAAAGAACCUGCCUCAUAGACUGGGACAACUAUUGGAAACGAUAGCUAAUACCGGAUAACAGUAUUUCUCGCAUGAGAGAUAUUUAAAAGUUGGUUAUGCUAACACUAUGAGAUGGCUUUGCGGUGCAUUAGCUAGUUGGUGGGGUAAAGGCCCACCAAGGCGACGAUGCAUAGCCGACCUGAGAGGGUGAUCGGCCACACUGGGACUGAGACACGGCCCAGACUCCUACGGGAGGCAGCAGUAGGGAAUCUUCCGCAAUGGGCGAAAGCCUGACGGAGCAACGCCGCGUGAGUGAAGAAGGAUUUCGGUUCGUAAAGCUCUGUUGUUAGGGAAGAAUGGAUAUGUAGUAACUAUACAUGUAAGAGACGGUACCUAACCAGAAAGCCACGGCUAACUACGUG